RNAcentral lists this ribosomal RNA (355 nucleotides) under uncultured phototrophic eukaryote. Its description in RNAcentral is "bacterial SSU rRNA". It matches the Rfam family "Bacterial small subunit ribosomal RNA", at positions 356 to 728 of the family's 1533-position model. The record is from RNAcentral.
GGGGAAUUUUCCGCAAUGGGCGAAAGCCUGACGGAGCAAUACCGCGUGAGGGAUGACGGCCUAUGGGUUGUAAACCUCUUUUUUCAGGGAGGAAUCAAUGACGGUACCUGAAGAAUAAGCAUCGGCUAACUCCGUGCCAGCAGCCGCGGUAAGACGGAGGAUGCAAGUGUUAUCCGGAAUCACUGGGCGUAAAGCGUCUGUAGGUGGUUUAAUAAGUCAACUGUUAAAUCUUGAGGCUCAACCUCAAAAUCGCAGUCGAAACUAUUAGACUAGAGUAUAGUAGGGGUAAAGGGCAUUUCCACUGGACCGGUGAAAUUUUAAAGGCCGCAAGGAGCACCGAUGUCGAAGGCAGCUA